Long non-coding RNA from Daphnia carinata, 151 nucleotides. RefSeq lists it as uncharacterized. The record is from RefSeq and is a predicted model, not a curated record. NCBI's taxonomy places the organism in Eukaryota, Metazoa, Arthropoda, Branchiopoda, Diplostraca, Daphniidae. The transcript has 3 exons.
CUCCAGGCCGGCCGGGAGGAAACUUUGCAGCAAGAUGCGAACCCUGGAACAACGGAAUCGCUUUUCCACACGCACCGUUAAACGCUUUUAUUCAGUCAAACGCAGCCUUUGUUCGUCCUGCUGGCAUCUUCAAACAACCAUUACAUGCUGC